RNAcentral lists this long non-coding RNA (1400 nucleotides) under Neogobius melanostomus (round goby). Its description in RNAcentral is "lncRNA (ENSNMLG00000006329.1)". Lineage: Eukaryota; Metazoa; Chordata; Actinopteri; Gobiiformes; Gobiidae. The record is from RNAcentral.
CAGACCGUCCCUCCCGAGCCGACGAUGUAGGUACAACCCUUCAGAAAGGGGUCAUUCCGUCCCAAAUCGCCCAAAUUCUCAGGUGACCCUCGCAGAUUUGGAUGAAACUUUAUUUUUGUUUUGAACAAUGAACACAGGCCAGUUAUUUGCUCUAACUCCCAAUUGUUGUUGUUGUUGUUUUUUUAACAAUUUACAAAACGGGUGUUGUAACCACCUUUUCUGCUUGCGGGUGACUUGCGUUUGUGUGCAAUUUUUAAAGAGCUGUAGUUAUUAAAGGGCUAAUAUUUGGUCCACAACACCCUGUUUAUAUUUUUUAACUAUGGUGAAAUAAUAAACUUUGCAUGUGUUCAGUACACAUGAGUCAGAACUAAAAAAAUAAAUAAAAAAGUCAUCCAUAUCUGAGUGGGUCACCUGGGAGGUUGUGGGUGAAACCACACGGAAUGACCCUUUGGGAUUGGAAUAAACUUUUUGCGUUGACUGAGGAUUCAUCCUCAGAUCUUGAGCCAGUGUCAUCCUACCCAACUGCAUGAUAAGACUUUUGUCAUUAGGUUGAAACUGGAGCUUGACCCACCCAGAGAGAGAAUUCCAAGAGAUGCAAACUCUGCACAGGAUAAGGACACACAUAAUAUAAGAAUAAAACUAUAAACUUAUAGAUAUGAUAGUGCUAAACCAGUCACUCAGUGUUGCAUUUGGGCAAGUAUGCAUUGCCAACAAUAAGUUUUCUAUUUCGUUAGGUGCGUUGUUUGCACUGCUCCAUGGAUUUGUCAUAUAGUGGCAGUACCUCCACCAUGCUGAAUCACAUGCGCGCCAAGCAUUCAGACAAUGAGGUCCAGCAAGCCACGGCAGGUGAAGUGAACCCUGAGAAUUCUCCUGUGUUGACCAGGAAACAGCAGAUUGACAAUUCCUUGGUGGAUAUGAUGGUAGGGCUUCGCUGGCGGCUCUCGGCAGUGAAUCGUGAGGGCUUUAGGGCAAUGACAAAUUGCUUGGACUCGACCUAUGUGAUUCCAAGUCGAGAAGAGCUAAAGGCUUUAAGGGAUGCACGGCAUAAAAACCCAAACGGAAGCAUCCUACUUGGGAAUCCUCAUCAAGUGAUUCUGACUGAAUAAAAUUGCACUAAAUUACUGAGUGCCUUUUUGUUGGGACCUUUCUUAGUUUAGGCGUUAAGCAGCUAUGGUCAGUUGUGCUCCAGAGCACGUUCUGGAUUAGGCAUUGUGGUGUGAACUGACACCUCUUUACUUAAUUAUGCUGCCUUAGUUAUUUUUGUUCUUCACUAACAUUUCUAAAUGUUGCACAUGGUUCAACACUGACUGUAAAGCAUGUUUAUGCAGUCAUCUGUUAUAUUGUAUGUAAAUGCUCAUUCAUACAUUAAACAUUUAUAUUUGUAAAAUAGUGUCUUUUUA